This 525-nucleotide ribosomal RNA is filed under the name Tritia denticulata. RNAcentral describes it as "partial 16S ribosomal RNA". It matches the Rfam family "Bacterial large subunit ribosomal RNA", at positions 1810 to 2603 of the family's 2925-position model. The record is from RNAcentral. Lineage: Eukaryota; Metazoa; Mollusca; Gastropoda; Neogastropoda; Nassariidae.
AAAACAUGGCUCCUUGAAAUCUAAUAAUAAGGAGUCGGACCUGCCCAGUGAAUUUUUUAACGGCCGCGGUACUCUGACCGUGCAAAGGUAGCAUAAUCAUUUGCCUUAUAAUUGAAGGCUAGUAUGAAUGGUUUGACAUGAAUGUAGCUGUCUCUUUAUAAUUUUAUAGAAUUUUAUUUUCAGGUGAAGAAGCCUGUAUUUAAUUAAAAGACAAGAAGACCCUAUCGAGCUUGAAAGAAAUUAAUAGAAUUAAAAUUAAUGUUAUUUAAAAAAUUGUCUAUUGAAGAUUUUAGUUGGGGCGACUGAGGAACACAAAAAGCUUCCUUUAAAGAUUUAUUAAAUCAAACUAGAAGUGAUCCAAAAUAUUUUGAUUAAAGGAAUUAGUUACCGUAGGGAUAACAGCAUUAUCUUUUUUAAGAGCUCAUAUCGAAAAAAAGGUUUGUGACCUCGAUGUUGGACCAGAAUAUCCUAAAGGUGCAGCAGCCUUUAAGGGUUGGUCUGUUCGACCAUUAAAAUUCUACGUGA